ACUGGCCGCAAACGCCCGUCGCGAGAAUGGCGUCAACACUGCUGCAGCAACCGAGGCCACUAGGCAUGUCUGGGGACAUGUUUUACCACCCUACUGAAAACAAACGUGAGUUUGACCUUUUGCUACGGCGACGGGACUGAGCCAGCAGCCUAAGGAUGUCCAAGCCGCAACCCUUUUGAUGGCAAUAGGCGAAGACGCGAGAAGAACAUUCUAUACGUUCAAGUUCGACAGCGAAGACGAUAAAAAAAGACCUCGGAAUUAUUUCGGCAAUGUUCGAGGCGAAUUUCAAGCCGUCUGAGAACCUCACCUUUAACGAAUUCCGAUUUGGCUCCAGGGACCAACAAGAGGGAGAGUCGUUCAAUGACUGGCUUACGGAGCUGCGAAUCCUCGCGGGAAGAUGCGAAUUCGGUGAGCUUGAGGAACGGCUGAUUCGGAGCAGGAUAAUUCUCGGCAUCAAAUAUAAGGAUUUCCAGCAGAAGCUUUUCUCGGAAAACCCCUCGUUUUCAAAAGUAGUGGAAAUGUGCCGCGCAAGGUAACAAGCAAA
Rhipicephalus sanguineus (brown dog tick) is the source of this 544-nucleotide long non-coding RNA. RefSeq lists it as uncharacterized. The transcript is spliced from 2 exons. The record is from RefSeq and is a predicted model, not a curated record. NCBI's taxonomy places the organism in Eukaryota, Metazoa, Arthropoda, Arachnida, Ixodida, Ixodidae.